UACAGAGGGUGCAAGCGUUGUUCGGAAUUAUUGGGCGUAAAGCGCGUGUAGGCGGCUUUGCAAGUCGGGUGUGAAAGCCCUCGGCUCAACCGAGGAAGUGCGCCCGAAACUGCAGAGCUUGAGUACCGGAGAGGAUGGCGGAAUUCCCCAAGUAGAGGUGAAAUUCGUAGAUAUGGGGAGGAACACCGGUGGCGAAGGCGGCCUGCUGGGACGUGGCUGACGCUGAGGCGCGACAGCGUGGGGAGCAAACAGG
This 253-nucleotide ribosomal RNA is filed under the name uncultured bacterium. RNAcentral's name for it is "partial 16S ribosomal RNA". It matches the Rfam family "Bacterial small subunit ribosomal RNA", at positions 524 to 776 of the family's 1533-position model. The record is from RNAcentral.